This 23-nucleotide non-coding RNA is filed under the name Arabidopsis thaliana (thale cress). Lineage: Eukaryota; Viridiplantae; Streptophyta; Magnoliopsida; Brassicales; Brassicaceae. The record is from RNAcentral.
UGCAUAGUUGUACAUGAGCGUAC